Long non-coding RNA from Quercus robur (English oak), 3859 nucleotides. RefSeq lists it as uncharacterized. The record is from RefSeq and is a predicted model, not a curated record. The transcript is spliced from 4 exons. Lineage: Eukaryota; Viridiplantae; Streptophyta; Magnoliopsida; Fagales; Fagaceae.
GUGAAAAGAGGGUAUUUUUUUGUGAGACUUGGCAAAUUUAGAAGUGGAGUUGGAGUUGUAGUGGAGAAAGGAGUGGGAGAGAGUAGUAGUUUGGAUGCAUGAAGAGCUGCAAGUUGCUCUAUGUGCCAAUAGAGUUGGUGGUAGUAUGAGAAUUGUGAAAGGGAGAGGUGGACAAAAUGGGACUUCCAUCAUUGAUGGGGAUGGUGAGGGGAAGAAGAUUAACAUUAGAAGUAAAGGUGUAGUUUUUCUGUUUCUAAGAUCUGGCAAUGGUCCAAGUAGAGUAAAUUCACAAGUUCUGCAGAAACCCAUAUGGGUGGUACUGGUACAUCUUCUCUUAUUGUGGGUUUGCCAUGGUCUGAUAGAUUAUAGGGUUCAUCAUGAAGGGACUGCUUUGAGGUUUUCAUAUGCCUAAACCCGCAAUAUUCUAUGCCAAUCACAAUACAUGCCCUUUUGGAACUCUGGAGUAAUAUUGCUUCUCAACUUUCUUCAGGUAGAAGUUUUAUUACGUGUGUGCAUAAGUCUGCUUGAUUCGCCCUUGACAACAACCUUUUCUACUGUUAUUAUAUUGCACUAGAUCUUAAGGACAACCAAGCAGCUUCAAGGUUAUGAUAUCAAGGAAUUGCUACAAGCAACCUGAUAGGGAUUUUCAUUGCUUCUGGAGCUUGUGCAGGCUACCUUCUAGGUUUAUUAACCAUGGAACCAUACAGGCUGCCUUUAUUACUUCUUUCAUAAUCUCUCAUUUCAUAAUUGGUGGAUUUUCAUGUGUUGUGAUGAACAACCAAACGAUGAUGGAGUUUUUUGUGUCUCAUCAAGUACAGAAUUCAGUUCCCUUCUUCAGGUAACCCCUCUGUUCAGAAUUCAGAUCAUUGGCAACUGGAAUCCCCAGCCCAAAAUUUUCAGAAAGUGUAAGUUUUCCUAAAACUAUGAUUCUAACAAUACAAAGAAAUCGGUAGUAUGGCAUUUCAUAGCAGCAUUAGAAAAGAAGUCUCAAUAGUUCUUUUAAUAAUAGUAGUAAAACUUGCAAGGUUGUCAAUGUUUGCGCUGGCUGCAGCAAAAUUGACAGUAGUAGUAAUGGUCCUGGACUUAUUGAGCAGUGUAGAAGUAGAAGUAGAAGAGGAGGCUAGACAAAGAUCAGAGUCUAUAGAUUAUCAUCAGCUGCAGUUUAUAGUCACUAUAUUGCCAUUAUAAAUGGUUAGUAAGGAUUCAAGACUAAUUGUAAGCAAAAGAGUUCAAGUGCAUCUGUUGUUAAGGAAAGGGAACUAAAGUAGUUAAGAGGUAGGCCUAAAAUAACACUAGUAGCCAUAAUAAGGGGUUGGAGGUUGGCUGAGUGAGGUCAUGGGUUCAAGACCUAUCGGGUGGGUGGGUGUAGUUUAUCAAUUAAAAAAGAAAAGAAAAAACGAACACUACUAGAGGUAGUAUAAAAGAACAUAUUAAUAAAGGAGGUGACAGAGUUUAUUUUAUGUAGGAUAGAAUAGCGGAAAAAGAAUGCAAGUGAAUAACUCUAAUUAGUCUAUUAAGAAUCUAUAGCCGAUCUCAUAGUUUUGGAUGAGGGCUUUGUUGUUGUUGUUGUUGUUUUGUCAAGGGAAUGGUGGUUGUGGUAUUUCAUGGAAUUAGAGACGUUGGUGAUGGUUAUUAUUUCUGAUUGCAAAAUAUCAAGCACAAGUAGAACUUUUGAGUCUACUGAUGAUAAAGCCAUUGCUUAACUUUAAAUCUAGUAUUAGUUGUAGUACUGUAGUAGUAGUUAUUAAAGAAUGAAAUUUAUAAUAGUUUGUGGUGGAAAAGGACUAAUGUGUCUCAUGUUCAUGGACAUCUACUGAUAGUGAAACCAGUAAUACUGGUCUAGCAGCAGCAGUUAUUACCAUUUUAGUACUACUAUUCUUAACGGAAAGAACAUUGUGGGGAAGGGGGAUGAAUUAUUAAUCAUGUGAUCAGUUUUUAUUUCUAAAAAUGCAAGCUUGUUACUUAUUUACCAUAGUGACUUGGAUGACGUAAACUAAAGUAGUUGCCAACUUUCUUUCCUUAGCAAGCACUCUUGACAAAUUAUAACCUCAGUGCAAAUUCUGUCAAAAGAAUUUUAUCAUAGAGCUGGGGUUCGAGGGAUACUCCAGUAGUUCCAGCACCUCUUGUAGUGCCUUGGAAUUGGGGUUUGAACCCCACCAGCCCCCUCCCCCUAUUUUACCUACAUUUAUAUAUAUAUAUAUAUAUAUAUAUAAAAGGAAGGUUGAUCAGAGAUCUGCUGCAUAACCAAGAUGCAUAUUACGUUAUUGAAUCCAAAAUAUUUAAUACAAGAUUUAUGUAAACUUAGCCAAUGGAGAUGCAUGGAUGAGUGUGAGCCCAACAGAGAGUAGAAAAAAAGAAAAAAAAAUAUCAUUGAGGUUGCUUGUUUUUACACAGGACUACAAAAGUACAAAUUCUGUUGACACAUCAUAAAUAAGAACUCCAGAUUCUUAACCUUGACCAAAGUUUUAAGUGCUGAAUUAUGCUUUGAAUUAUUACACUGAAAACAAAACAAACUUUGUUACUCCUAUUAUAAUCCUUUCAGAGAAUUUUAGAGCUAGCUUGUGUGCUUUUUAUGUCUCUUCUUUUGUGGUCAUAACUUAACCUUUUUUUUUUUCAUAUGUUCCUUUACUGUUGUCUAAAAGCAAAUACUACAGAUGGCAGAAAUGCUUAGAAUUAUGUUCAAAUGGAAAAAUGGGGUUUGAGGGAUAUCCCAGUCGUUCCAGCACCUCUAGUGGUGCUGGGCACUGGGGUUUGAACCCCACCGGCCAUUCUCCUUCAAAAAUCCACCGGAAGGAGUCCACUUGGAUAGUGAAAAUGCUGUAACAAGGUUUGACUAGAAAUUCUCAAAUCCAUUCCAAACAAUUUUGUUUCUGAUUGACCAAGGCAAGAUGAAUUAGAUUAUGAUUUAUCAACAGGAAAGAGGAGAUUUGGAGUGUAUUUGUAGGCUUUGUUGUUGAUGUUAAGUAGGAAUAAAUUGCAUUGUUUAUCAUCCAGGAUAAAUUUUUUUACCUAUAAAUAUAUAUAUAUAUAUAUAUAUAUUUGAUAGGUAAAUUACCUAUAAAUAUAUUGCACAAACUUACUUAUAUAUAUACACACACAGUUAAAACUUAGAACAGAAGAUAUUAUCACAAUCCCCUCAAAAAAAAAAAAAAAGAAGAUAUUAUCACAACUUGCUUCUAACAACAAAUCUUGGGUUAAAUAUCCUGAACCACUUGAGUAUAUCAUAGCCUAUCCAUGUUGACUCUCGACAGAACUGAAUUUGGGGUCUUAGUAUGCAUAGUCCAUCCAAUUACACUAGAAACCAUAGCUAAGGUUUAUCUUGCUGCUUCAGGGAAAGAAAGCCAAUGACAUGUCAUAUUUAUGACGCUACGACGGGGAAUCAGUGGAUUACCUUCUUCUUCAUUGUAAGUUUUCUCAUGCCUUGUGGUGUGAAGCUUUUGCAGUGUUUGGGAUCCAGUGGGUAAUGCCGAGGUCAGUUAGCUCCUUUUUCUUUAUAUGGAGAAACUGGUUUGGAAAGCAUCUUUCAACCAUUUGGAAUAUGGUCUUGGCAUGUUUAAUGUGAUUAGUUUGGCAGGAACACAAUGCUCACAUUUUUGAAGAUAAGGAGAGAACAUUAGAUCAUCCAAAAUCUCUCAUCUUUGGUGCUCUAUUUCAGUGGGCUCGUAUUUGGGGGUUUACGAAUUAUAUUUCUUUAUCUGAAUUCUUAGUCUCUAUUUCCUUUAGUUCUUGAUUAUAUUGUAUUUGUUUCUUGUUUAUAGUGUUCACCAUUGUGAACAUGAUGUUCAAUUUUUUUCAAUAAAAAUCUUAUUACCUAUUAAAAAAAAUGUCAUAUUUAUGAGAGGACAAUCCAUUAGGACUU